This 533-nucleotide long non-coding RNA is filed under the name Polistes fuscatus (common paper wasp). Its description in RNAcentral is "uncharacterized LOC122526002". Lineage: Eukaryota; Metazoa; Arthropoda; Insecta; Hymenoptera; Vespidae. The record is from RNAcentral.
CAGCUGGUCACGCAACUUGAUUUCAAAUCUACCCUUUUAUGCCUCCUCGUCCUUUCGUAAUGCUUUACGAUGUUUCGUAUUUCUUUGUUUUUUAUUUUCUUUAGUGAAGGCAACGUUGGUGGGGACCGUUAUUAGUCGGGAGUUUAGAUUCUUUAGUUGGUAAACGAGGAUGCAAAGUACGCAAAGGAAUAUUUCAAAAAUCGUAGAUUUAUUUUUAAAUACUAGGAACCCAUGUGUUACCGUUGGAAGAACGCAAGGACCGGAAUAGAGAAUAAUCGUGGCAAUUGGGGCAGAGAGCACGCGGUCGCGCGCUUUUAUUCCGCAAUUAACGGUCGAGGAAAAGGGUAGAAAGAAGGGAAAAAAGAAGAAAAUGAAAAGGGAAAGAGAAAGAAGGAAAGACAAACUGGCAGCUAACUCUUGUGUCUUCUGACGACAAUGAAACGUAGAGCCUCUUAUUUACCUACCACAUUCGACGCAUUUCUUUCUCAUUCCAGCUUAAAAAAAGGAGAAAAUAAUGAAGAAGAAUAGCCACG